This 684-nucleotide long non-coding RNA is filed under the name Brachypodium distachyon (stiff brome). RNAcentral's name for it is "long non-coding RNA (BDIS_LNC002016)". The record is from RNAcentral. Lineage: Eukaryota; Viridiplantae; Streptophyta; Magnoliopsida; Poales; Poaceae.
CACCUGAGAUAGCGCAUGCGAACCAAUGUAUUUAUUCCGUAUCAGGUCCUGCCAUAUACCGUCCUCAAACAAAAAUUUGAACAACCAUUUGCUAAGAAGAUUAGUAUUUUUAGCAUCAAGAUUCUGAAUACCUAGACCACUUGCAAUCUUUUGGCCUGCACAAAAUGCUCUAUUUUGCGAGUCUAUAUUUUUUUUGCUGACUAUCAUUCUGUCUGAAAAAUCUAGACCGAAAAUAAUCAAACCUCUUGAAAACUCCACAUGGAAGUCAAAGAAUGACAUCAUAAAAAUAAUCAUACUACUAAGUACGGAAUUGAUGAAAACAAGCCUUUCUUCCAUGGAUGAAUGGGUAACUAAAGCAUUGUGAGCUCGUUAAGAAUCUGACAAUUGUUUCCCUCACAUCACCAGGGUUCAAAAAACAAAAAAAACAGACGGUAACAUCUUGAUAUCAAUAAUGUUCCCUUCCAGUAUUGGGGAACAUAAUCGCAGGAUGAGAAAAUUCUCCAGGAGGCGAUGGAUUUGCCAACCGCUGAUUGCCUUUCUCCUUGACAAUGUCGAGAAUUGUGUACUAGUCAGCGUGCUGGAUCUGCAUAUAGCCCCGCAAUUCCUUUACCUCUUUGCUUUCUAGCCGUAGUGAUGCCCCACGGGCAAAUGUUUUCUACGACAGUUUGAUUGUGCCCUUUGGCC